AUGGCCACGGGAGGAGGAGUGGUGCUCAACCUGCGCGUGCCGUCGGCAUCAGCGGCGCCGGCGCGGCGGUGUGGGACGGCGUCGUCUUCGUCGGUGAGAUGCGGGAGCGCGCGCGGGGCGGCGCCGGCGAGGCCGGCGGGAGGGGGGCUGGAGGAGGACCACUACCGGACGCUGAGGCUGGCGCCGGGGGCCACCAGGGGCGAGGUCAAGAGGGCCUUCCAUCGCCACGCGCUGCAGUACCACCCGGACGUCGUGCGGCGAGACAGCUGCGACAACGCCCAAGAAAAUAGCAUCGACUUCGAGCGGAUCAACGCGGCGUACCAGAGGGUGAUGAGCAACAUGCGGGAGGCGGAGGUGAGGCUCGAGUACUGGCGCCGCCGCUACGGCCUCGCCGACGAGGACCUCGACCGCUACCGCCGCUACCUCAAGGACGACGACGAGGAUGACUGGUUCUCCGACUUCGGAAAUCUUCUUCCUUGCCGUGCCGUGACAGAGGCGUUGGCAAUCAUCACACUGUAA
This 519-nucleotide ribosomal RNA is filed under the name Triticum aestivum (bread wheat). Its description in RNAcentral is "partial small subunit ribosomal RNA". The record is from RNAcentral. Lineage: Eukaryota; Viridiplantae; Streptophyta; Magnoliopsida; Poales; Poaceae.